RNAcentral lists this ribosomal RNA (606 nucleotides) under uncultured bacterium. RNAcentral's name for it is "bacterial SSU rRNA". The stretch from base 1 to 517 matches the Rfam family "Bacterial small subunit ribosomal RNA", at positions 338 to 873 of the family's 1533-position model. The record is from RNAcentral.
CCUACGGGAGGCAGCAGUGGGGAAUCUUGCGCAAUGGGCGAAAGCCUGACGCAGCCAUGCCGCGUGAAUGAUGAAGGUCUUAGGAUUGUAAAAUUCUUUCACCGGGGACGAUAAUGACGGUACCCGGAGAAGAAGCCCCGGCUAACUUCGUGCCAGCAGCCGCGGUAAUACGAAGGGGGCUAGCGUUGCUCGGAAUUACUGGGCGUAAAGGGAGCGUAGGCGGAUAGUUUAGUCAGAGGUGAAAGCCCAGGGCUCAACCUUGGAAUUGCCUUUGAUACUGGCUAUCUUGAGUACGGAAGAGGUAUGUGGAACUCCGAGUGUAGAGGUGAAAUUCGUAGAUAUUCGGAAGAACACCAGUGGCGAAGGCGACAUACUGGUCCGUUACUGACGCUGAGGCUCGAAAGCGUGGGGAGCAAACAGGAUUAGAUACCCUGGUAGUCCACGCUGUAAACGAUGAGUGCUAGUUGUCGGCAUGCAUGCAUGUCGGUGACGCAGCUACGCAUUAAGACACUCCGCCGUCGGGGAGGUACGGUCGCGAAGAAUUAAACUAACGAAGGAAGUUAGUACGGCGUGAGACGUGCCGACGGACGACGACGAGGGAGGAGG